Molecule: ribosomal RNA, 403 nt
Filed under: bacterium Ellin6013
Lineage: Bacteria; Bacillati; Actinomycetota; Actinomycetes; Mycobacteriales; Mycobacteriaceae
Description: bacterial SSU rRNA
Rfam family: Bacterial small subunit ribosomal RNA
Source: RNAcentral
GACGAACGCUGGCGGCGUGCUUAACACAUGCAAGUCGAACGGAAAGGCCCUUCGGGGUACUCGAGUGGCGAACGGGUGAGUAACACGUGGGUGAUCUGCCCUGCACUUUGGGAUAAGCCUGGGAAACUGGGUCUAAUACCGAAUACACCUUGCUGGUCGCAUGAUCUGGUGGGGGAAAGCUUUUGCGGUGUGGGAUGGGCCCGCGGCCUAUCAGCUUGUUGGUGAGGUUAUGGCUUACCAAGGCGACGACGGGUAGCCGGCCUGAGAGGGUGACCGGCCACACUGGGACUGAGAUACGGCCCAGACUCCUACGGGAGGCAGCAGUGGGGAAUAUUGCACAAUGGGCGCAAGCCUGAUGCAGCGACGCCGCGUGAGGGAUGACGGCCUUCGGGUUGUAAACCUC